Molecule: non-coding RNA, 48 nt
Filed under: Trypanosoma brucei brucei
Lineage: Eukaryota; Euglenozoa; Kinetoplastea; Trypanosomatida; Trypanosomatidae
Source: RNAcentral
AUAUAUAACACGAACAUCUAAUGUAUAGACUGAGGUAAAUUGAUUAAU